UGCAAUCAUCUUUUACAAUCACAUGAAGUGUUGCUGUCUUGCUCCAUGAUCCCUGCUUUUCUUAUUUAUCGAAAGCCCUGAGAGUCUCCUCCUGCCUUCUUGAACCUCUCUAGGUUUAUAAAGUGUAACACGGAUGUCCCAGGUGUUCCAGACCAAAGCUCAGCAUACCCGCGUGACAUUUUGCUGCCAAUCACCCAUCCAUCCCUACUUAUCUUCAGAUGGCACUUAAAGAUAUUAUGACCCAGAACUGGAUAAACAGGAUUGAAAAUGGACAGGAUAUAAAGGAUGAUCUGACAGUUGGGGUGAAUUCAUUGUGGGCUCUGGGGAUGGCAGCCCUUCAAUCUGAGGUGAUGGAGCCGGCAGGGAACCAGGUUUUGGGGAAGGCAUGAUGAGAAUUGGCACUUCAAAAGGU
Long non-coding RNA from Polypterus senegalus (gray bichir), 412 nucleotides. RefSeq lists it as uncharacterized. Lineage: Eukaryota; Metazoa; Chordata; Cladistia; Polypteriformes; Polypteridae. The record is from RefSeq and is a predicted model, not a curated record. The transcript is spliced from 3 exons.